This 915-nucleotide ribosomal RNA is filed under the name Thaxterogaster australis. RNAcentral describes it as "Cortinarius australis partial large subunit ribosomal RNA". It matches the Rfam family "Eukaryotic large subunit ribosomal RNA", at positions 36 to 941 of the family's 3401-position model. The record is from RNAcentral. Lineage: Eukaryota; Fungi; Basidiomycota; Agaricomycetes; Agaricales; Cortinariaceae.
AAGCAUAUCCAUAAGCGGAGGAAAAGAAACUACAAGGAUUCCCUAGUAACUGCGAGUGAAGCGGGAAAAGCUCAAAUUUAAAAUCUGGCAGUCUCUGGCUGUCCGAGUUGUAAUCUAGAGAAGUGUAUCCGCGCUGGACCGUGUACAAGUCUCCUGGAAUGGAGCGUCAUAGAGGGUGAGAAUCCCGUCUUUGACACGGACUGCCAGGGCUUUGUGAUGCGCUCUCAAAGAGUCGAGUUGUUUGGGAAUGCAGCUCAAAAUGGGUGGUAAAUUCCAUCUAAAGCUAAAUAUUGGCGAGAGACCGAUAGCGAACAAGUACCGUGAGGGAAAGAUGAAAAGAACUUUGGAAAGAGAGUUAAACAGUACGUGAAAUUGCUGAAAGGGAAACGCUUGAAGUCAGUCGCGUUGGUCAGGGAUCAACCUUGCUUUUGCUGGGUGUACUUCCUGGUUGACGGGUCAGCAUCAAUUUUGAUCAUUGGAAAAAGAUCAGGGGAAUGUGGCAUCCUUGGAUGUGUUAUAGCCCUUGGUUGUAUACAAUGGUUGGGAUUGAGGAACUCAGCACGCCGCAAGGCCGGGUUUUUACCACGUACGUGCUUAGGAUGCUGGCAUAAUGGCUUUAAUCGACCCGUCUUGAAACACGGACCAAGGAGUCUAACAUGCCUGCGAGUGUUUGGGUGGAAAACCCGAGCGCGCAAUGAAAGUGAAAGUUGAGAUCCCUGUCGUGGGGAGCAUCGACGCCCGGACCUGACCUUUUGUGACGGCUCCGCGGUAGAGCAUGUAUGUUGGGACCCGAAAGAUGGUGAACUAUGCCUGAAUAGGGUGAAGCCAGAGGAAACUCUGGUGGAGGCUCGUAGCGAUUCUGACGUGCAAAUCGAUCGUCAAAUUUGGGUAUAGGGGCGAAAGACUAAUCGAACC